GUUCCUUGAAGCAAAGCAAGGGGGGGGGGGCUUUUGAUCCAAGGAAAUAGACAUGUGCUUCCCUUCCUUAGAUCAAACCUGAAUGCCUCCCAUUCCUCCUCCCCAGGGAGAUGCACGAGUCCUACGGGUUUAGCGCUCUCCCAAUGAAUAAACAAUACAGUUUUGAAACUAAUAGUAUUUAAUGUGUACAAUGGUUUGAGGGUACAAAAUAAUAAUAUGAGCAUGCACAUGUAUUAAAUUGUGUAGAAUUAACCUUGGAUAACCCAGUCAAGUGCUAUAUUAUGACUUCAUUGGACCCAUGUUAUACAUUUAGGGAAGCUAUUUUAAGGUUUUAUAAGUAUGUUUAUAUUUAUGAAAAUGGAUUUUCUUAUUACAAACAAUUACAAAUUUGUAUGGUAUUACUGAGAGUAAAGAUGUGGACAUACAUGUGUGCCCAUAUGAUCAUUAUGGAUAUAAAAAAAGUGAUAUUUUAUGAUAGCUUAACCUAGGAUAUCCCAACAAUUUUCCAUUGGGUAUAAUUCAAUUGGUAUCACUUGGUGCAAAUUCACUUGCAUGCCAUAACCCUACUUCUACCCAGAUUUUGUUAAAGGCUGUAAAAAUUUGCUCGUGACACGAGUGGGUGGUUACUAUGCACUUUCUUGUAGGUUUAACACUUCUUUUUUAUUAUAAUAAUAAUACUGUGCACUUUGCUCACAGUGCUUUGUAUUGGGCAUUGUGAAAUCUACAAUGUACCAUCAAAACAAUAGUAAUUUAAUAUUGAUUCAGAUUUUUAACCCAGAGAGUUUGUCACCCAGGAUAACCCAAGAAACUCAGUGCAUCAUCGAGGACUGUCUGUCUUAUUUCCAUUGGGGCCCUUCAAUCUUGUCCCCCAGUAGGCAAUCCACACCAGUCGACUAACACCAGAUGAACAGGGAUAACAGGAUGGACUACGACUCGGAUGAUAAUGAAAUUCUUGAAUCGGGAGUUGUGGAUGCAGGAGAAAAAGGUGGACUUUCCUCAUGUGGAUAUUGUGGUAAGCUCCGGAACUUGAACGCAGUUGAACUGAUGUGCUGGCAGUGUGGUUUCCUGGUUCCAUGAAUCUUGCAUCAGUUAUCAGCUUGGAAACUGGUGCCAUUUAUGCUGAACUAUUCUUUCACCUGCAAGAACUGCUCUUCAACUGGUGUUGAGGCCUUUCGCAAAUCUCAGGCACAACUUCGAGACAUGUGUAUAACAGCUUUAGCAAACUUGCAGCAUGCAAGCAGUAAGAUGGGAAAGGAAACACAAUGUUUAGCCUGCAGAGGGAUGUCAUACCCUUCUUAGAACAAAACUGGAGGAGGCGCUUACCACUGCUGCACGACGUUCCACUCAGUCAUGGCAUACAACAUUGCAGAGAAUGCUUAUGAAGGAAGUUGAUACAUAUUUCACGGUAGAAGAGACAGGCGAGAGUGGUGAACCUUCACAGCACCAUCCUUUCUUUGGUCUCCUCACAGCAGAUCUGACACUCAUCCGACCAAUUGUUGAUGCGCCUGGUGGGUGGCGGUCACCCCCAUCCGGCUCCUGUAUGUAUCCUCCCUAUACUGUUAAUGCCACCACCAAGAGCUGUAAUCUCAUUUUGUCAUGCACCCUAUAAUACAUAAGCUUUAAUUUUUAUAUUUAUUACAUAAACAUAAUAAAUAUAUAUUGAUUGUUGGAUCCAGAGAUCUAUUAAAUUGGCUUCAACUUAUUUUUAACUGCACUUCUAUAAGCAUCUAAUAUGUUUUACUGUACAGUAAGUAUUGUUGAAAUGAGUCAACAUUGAAUAGAAGUUAUUAAAUAUUAGACUUGCUUAUGUAAAUUCAGUUGACGGUAUAUUAUUUUAUAACAUUUGAUUUUUAAGUGAAUGUCUAUGAAGGAGAACAUAUUGUGAUCUUGCAUCUUCCAGUUAUGCUGACUCAAGUUAUAUUAAUGUUUACUG
Molecule: non-coding RNA, 1933 nt
Organism: Cherax quadricarinatus
Lineage: Eukaryota; Metazoa; Arthropoda; Malacostraca; Decapoda; Parastacidae
Source: RefSeq, a predicted model, not a curated record